This 863-nucleotide ribosomal RNA is filed under the name Exophiala dermatitidis. RNAcentral's name for it is "LSU rRNA". It matches the Rfam family "Eukaryotic large subunit ribosomal RNA", at positions 74 to 955 of the family's 3401-position model. The record is from RNAcentral. Lineage: Eukaryota; Fungi; Ascomycota; Eurotiomycetes; Chaetothyriales; Herpotrichiellaceae.
AUUGCCUCAGUAACGGCGAGUGAAGCGGCAACAGCUCAAAUUUGAAAUCUGGCCUCUUUGGGGUCCGAGUUGUAAUUUGUAGAGGAUGUUUCGGGCACCGCUCCGGUUUAAAUUUCUUGGAACAGAAUGUCAAAGAGGGUGAGAACCCCGUCUUGGACCGGCAGUAGGGCCCAUGUGAAACUCCUUCGACGAGUCGAGUUGUUUGGGAAUGCAGCUCAAAAUGGGUGGUAAAUUUCAUCUAAAGCUAAAUAUUGGCCAGAGACCGAUAGCGCACAAGUAGAGUGAUCGAAAGAUGAAAAGCACUUUGAAAAGAGAGUUAAACAGUACGUGAAAUUGUUGAAAGGGAAGCGCUUGCAACCAGACUUGCGCGCGGCGGUUCCCCCUUCCUUUUGGUUGGGUUAUUCCGCCGUGUCCAGGCCAACAUCGGUUCUGGGGGUCGGUUAAAGGCCUGGGGAAUGUAUCUACCCUUCGGGCGUAGACUUAUAGCCCCGGGUGUCAUGCGACCUCCCGGGACCGAGGAACGCGCUUCGGCUCGGAUGUUGGCGUAAUGGUUGUCAGCGACCCGUCUUGAAACACGGACCAAGGAGUCUAACAUCUAUGCGAGUGUUUGGGUGUCAAACCCGGAACGCGGAAUGAAAGUGAACGGAGGUAGGAAGCUUCGGCUGCACUAUCGACCGAUCCUGAUGUCUUCGGAUGGAUUUGAGUAAGAGCAUAGCUGUUGGGACCCGAAAGAUGGUGAACUAUGCCUGAAUAGGGUGAAGCCAGAGGAAACUCUGGUGGAGGCUCGCAGCGGUUCUGACGUGCAAAUCGAUCGUCAAUUUGGGUAUAGGGGCGAAGACUAAUCGAACCAUUAAAAAGUUACC